This 431-nucleotide ribosomal RNA is filed under the name Klebsiella pneumoniae. RNAcentral's name for it is "bacterial LSU rRNA". It matches the Rfam family "Bacterial large subunit ribosomal RNA", at positions 2512 to 2925 of the family's 2925-position model. RNAcentral also lists the same sequence under 1 other name. The record is from RNAcentral. Lineage: Bacteria; Pseudomonadati; Pseudomonadota; Gammaproteobacteria; Enterobacterales; Enterobacteriaceae.
CGGUGUUUGGCACCUCGAUGUCGGCUCAUCACAUCCUGGGGCUGAAGUAGGUCCCAAGGGUAUGGCUGUUCGCCAUUUAAAGUGGUACGCGAGCUGGGUUUAGAACGUCGUGAGACAGUUCGGUCCCUAUCUGCCGUGGGCGCUGGAGAAUUGAGGGGGGCUGCUCCUAGUACGAGAGGACCGGAGUGGACGCAUCACUGGUGUUCGGGUUGUCAUGCCAAUGGCACUGCCCGGUAGCUAAAUGCGGAAGAGAUAAGUGCUGAAAGCAUCUAAGCACGAAACUUGCCCCGAGAUGAGUUCUCCCUGAGACUUUAAGUCUCCUGAAGGAACGUUAAAGACGAUGACGUUGAUAGGCCGGGUGUGUAAGCGCAGCGAUGCGUUGAGCUAACCGGUACUAAUGAACCGUGAGGCUUAACCUUACAACGCCGAAG